GCCAGGUGUGGUGGUGUACACCUGUAGUCCCAGUUGCUCGGGAGGCUGAGGCAGGAGGAUCACUUGAGCCCAGGAGGUUGAGGCUGCAGUGAGCCCUGAUUGCACCACUGCAUUCCAGCCUGGGUGACAGAGUGAGACCCUGUCUUAA
Molecule: non-coding RNA, 148 nt
Filed under: Gorilla gorilla gorilla (western lowland gorilla)
Lineage: Eukaryota; Metazoa; Chordata; Mammalia; Primates; Hominidae
Source: Rfam by way of RNAcentral